This 4827-nucleotide long non-coding RNA is filed under the name Capsicum annuum. RNAcentral's name for it is "long non-coding RNA (CANN_LNC011520)". Lineage: Eukaryota; Viridiplantae; Streptophyta; Magnoliopsida; Solanales; Solanaceae. The record is from RNAcentral.
UUGGUAUAUAGUAGGCCAUGUAACUCACUAUAUUCCGGGAGUAAUAGUCGUUGGAAGCUGACCUAAGUUGAAGCGUCUACUAAAACUGAAUCGGUAAAGAAGUUGUCAAUUCAUCUUUGUGUUAGGAGGUAUCCGAAGAUGUUCCCAUGAUAUGUAAUUGCUCAACAUACCUAUAUUUAAAUAGAAAUCAUUGGGUUUUGCUCUAUUUUCGUAGGAACGACGGUUAAAUUUCUAGCUCGAAAAACGCGGGGUGUUACAACAAAGUUACCGGUUCCCCCCCUCCCCCCCUCCCCCAAGAAAAAAAUCAGACAAUAUUAUGAUGAAUUUUGGCUUUGAAAACAUAUUUGAAAAGUAAAGGUAGUAGCUAAAAAGGCCUGCUUAACAUAGGAUAAUUUGGUAUAUAAGAGGUGUACAACUCUGCACUAGAUGUCACUUAUGUGGAAGAGAGCUAGAAACUAAUAGUCACUUGAUUUUACAUUAUUCAGUGGCGGUACAACUUUAAACAAAGGGAGAAUACCCUCUGCUCCGUGGAUAUUGGGAAACCAUUAAAAAAGAAAUGCUCCCAAGCACAUCCCCUGAGGUAAACCUUUUCUACAUUUUCAACCAACAGAAGUCAACUCAGAGAGUAUAAUCCGGCAACUUUUGCUCGGAAAUCUCAGCCAAGUCAAGAUGGAAGACAACGCGAUUUAAUUUCAAAUCGUAUGAUAUUACCAGUGAAGAGUCUCGUACAGAUACUUGGUACGAGUGGACAGAACGAGACCGCAACAUCAUAAGAACUUUUUUCAGUCAGAAGAUAAUGGAAUGGCUAUACUGGUCACUGAAGGAAGCUUCCAAAGUGAAGGGGAAUUUUGUAGGAAGAUGGAAGCAUCAAAAUACUCCUCUGAGUUGUUUUGCUCAAGAAAUUUCAACAGACAUAGACGCUAUAUAAGUAUUAUAAGCAUGUAAACAAAAGAAGAUCUGUCAUUAUUAUUCCUGAACGUACGUUUAAUACAGGGUAGUUGGACAUAGCUAACAAAAUUGCAAAGUUCAUUAAUGGCUCAGCUGUAAAGCCUUUUACAAUACUCUCUAGAAAGAUAGAAGAAGCACUGCUCUACUCAGAAACUGCCAGAAGAAACAGACAAAUGGACUACAAGAGAGAUGGAAAAAGUCAUAGUACAGGAAAGAGAUGGAAUCAUCUGUAUCUCUGAAGGGGUCAGCUCUUUACAAAAUGAGCUUCUUUCGAGAAGCAUAGUCGGCAGCCUCCCUGGAGGAAUAGCAGAUACCCCUACCCUAUCAAAUAUUAGGCGCUGGGUCAGCAACACAUGGAAGCACGUGCACGGAGUAAACAUUUACGAGAUGGGGCAGAAUCGAUUUCUCUGAGUUCCCAUCAAAAACAACCAUUGAAUACAUCCUGAGGCAACUAGUUGUGAAGUUCAACUUCACAGACUCGGACUACAAUGGUGGACGCCGACAGUGGAAUCGAUCCCUCGCUCUGCAACAAUCGAACAAGUCUGAAUUAGAUUGGUCGGACUCCCCUUGCAUCUGUGGUCGCAAAAUGUAUUCAAAGCAGUAGGAGAUUACUGUGGAGGAUGGAUAAGAACUGAGGACGAGACCCAGCUGUGGAAUCACCUCAACUGGGCAAAAAUUCUGGUGAGAGGAAACGAAAACACAAUUUCGAAGACUAGGAAGCAUGGAAAGAACUUCAGACUAUCAGAUAAUAAUGAGUUCUAUCUCUAGAGAGGGUGGGGCUCGAGAGGAUAGUAUCUUGACAGGACAGGGCACAUGGGUAAUUUUCAAAUAAAUCCUAAUAGUCAAACAUGUGUCUGGCCACGUGUGAACGCCUCCCUAACUAAAAGGCCACCAGCUUCUAAACCUUUCGACCCAGAUUUCCUAGCCCAACAACUUAGGGGGAAAAUACACUUGCACUUAUUUUUUAAAGCCCAUAUUUGAUCCAUUUUUAGAGGAAAUAAAUGUUAUCUCUCAAUACACUGCCUCUCAGAAUGCAGUAGGGAGAAGCUUACUCCACUACUCCAUCUAUGGCGAAGGGAAAUUCAUCUUCAGUAACACAAAAAGACAACGAAAAAGGUUGUUAAUUUAAGUACGACAGAAGAACUCAUUGAAACAGAUCCUACUCAUUCUGAACCACUAGCCUCGAAUAACAUGCAACUCUCUAUUGUUAGAGAAAAACCUGUUGAAGAUGUUGUCCCCAUUAGCAUCCAUACUGUAGAACCCGAGCAGGAUCUAGAUUUUGACAUUCCAAUUUGGAUACACCAAAACAUCAUCAAAAUUGUCAAGCAAUUUGGUAUUGAUUUUAAGGGCUUUGAGGAGGAGGCUCAACAAUUACUCAUGAAGAUUGAUCAAAAGAAGCAAUUAAACAUGGGGAAGACCAAAAAGAUGUUGUAGUUCACGCCAAAGGUAAAAGGUGCUAUAGAACUGCAAAGUCUCGAUUUUGACCAUAAUUUCAAAAGACAUGGCACCAGGGGGGAUAUCACACCAAUAUUGAUCAAUGAAAAUUAACUUAAUCUCAUGGAACGUUAGAGAAUUGAAUGAUAAAAGGAAGAGGAGAAUGAUCAAGAGUUGUAUCAACACUUAGAAGGCAAAUAUAUAUUGUUUCUAGGAAACCAAAGUUCAAGCUGAUAUUAAUGGUUUAAUUAGAGAUCUUUGGGCCAACAAAUGGGCCGAUCACAUUCAAUUGGAGGCCAGUGUUACCAGAGGAGGAAUUCUUCUAUUGUGGGACAAAAGAAUUUGGGAUAGAGAGUGCAGUGGUGUGGUGAAUCUAGGUUGUCACUCCAUCACAUGUAAAAUCACAGCCAAGACACAGGAUCUCAUGUGGCACUUAAUAGGAGUGUAUGCACCUAAUGACAGAAAAAUUAGAAGGGAAGUCUGGUUGGAAGCUGGAGCUGCCAGAGGUCUAUUUUCAGGUCCUUGGGUAUUAUAUGGAGAUUUCAACACAGUUAGAUUCCCCUCAGAAAAAAGAAAAAUUGCAACUGAAUAAAUAAAUCAAUGACUGAUUUUUCUAAUUUUAUCAAGAUAUGGGCUUGCUAGAUUUGCAACUGGCAGGUGGGAAAUUUACUUGGAAAAAAGUGGCAAACAUGAUGUUGCUCCAAGGUUGGAUAGAUUUUUUAUUCCUGAUGAAUGGGAUGAAAGAUUCAAGAAUAUCAAACAAUCACUUCCGGAUAGAGUGACCUCUGACCACUCACCUGUAUUACUACAGUGCAGCGAUUGGGAACCGUCCAAAUCAUACAUCAAAUUUGAAAAUUGAUGGUUGCAAACGGAAGGGUUCAAAGAAAGAGUCAAGGAUUGGUGGGACUCUUUCAAUUGUGUUGGCAAACGUGUCUAUGUUUUGGCUUACAAGAUGAAAGCAUUGAAAGUCAAACUUAGAGACUGGAGCAAAACAUUACAAGGAAACUUGGAGAUGCAGAAGCUUGACACGCUCAGCAAUUAUGUGGUGUGGUGAAUCUAGGUUGUCACUCCAUCACAUGUAAAAUCACAGCCAAGACACAGGAUCUCAUGUGGCACUUAACAGGAGUGUAUGCACCUAAUGACAGAAAAAUUAGAGGGGAAGUCUGGUUGGAAGCUGGAGCUGCCAGAGGUCUAUUUUCAGGUCCUUGGGUAUUAUAUGGAGAUUUCAACACAGUUAGAUUCCCCUCAGAAAAGAAAAAUUGCAACUGAAUCAAUAAAUCAAUGACUGAUUUUUCUAAUUUUAUUCAAGAUAUGGGCUUGCUAGAUUUGCAACUGGCAGGUGGGAAAUUUACUUUGAAAAAAGUGGCAAACAUGAUGUUGCUGCAAGGUUGGAUAGAUUUUUGAUUCCUGAUGAAUGGGAUGAAAGAUUCAAGAAUAUCAAACAAUCACUUCCGGAUAGAGUGACCUCUGAGCACUCACCUGUAUUACUACAGUGCAGCGAUUGGGAACCGUCCAAAUCAUACAUCAAAUUUGAAAAUUGAUGGUUGCAAACGGAAGGGUUCAAAGAAAGAGUCGAGGAUUGGUGGGACUCUUUCAAUUGUGUUGGCAAACGUGUCUAUGUUUUGGCUUACAAGAUGAAGGUAUUGAAAGUCAAACUUAGAGACUGGAGCAAAACAUUACAAGGAAACUUGGAGAUGCAGAAGCUUGACACGCUCAGCAAUUAUGUGGUGUGGUGAAUCUAGGUUGUCACUCCAUCACAUGUAAAAUCACAGCCAAGACACAGGAUCUCAUGUGGCACUUAACAGGAGUGUAUGCACCUAAUGACAGAAAAAUUAGAGGGGAAGUCUGGUUGGAAGCUGGAGCUGCCAGAGGUCUAUUUUCAGGUCCUUGGGUAUUAUAUGGAGAUUUCAACACAGUUAGAUUCCCCUCAGAAAAGAAAAAUUGCAACUGAAUCAAUAAAUCAAUGACUGAUUUUUCUAAUUUUAUUCAAGAUAUGGGCUUGCUAGAUUUGCAACUGGCAGGUGGGAAAUUUACUUUGAAAAAAGUGGCAAACAUGAUGUUGCUGCAAGGUUGGAUAGAUUUUUGAUUCCUGAUGAAUGGGAUGAAAGAUUCAAGAAUAUCAAACAAUCACUUCCGGAUAGAGUGACCUCUGACCACUCACCUGUACUACUACAGUGCAGCGAUUGGGAACCGUCCAAAUCAUACAUCAAAUUUGAAAAUUGAUGGUUGCAAACGGAAGGAUUCAAAGAAAGAGUCAAGGAUUGGUGGGACUCUUUCAAUUGUGUUGGCAAACGUGUCUAUGUUUUGGCUUACAAGAUGAAGGUAUUGAAAGUCAAACUUAGAGACUGGAGCAAAACAUUACAAGGAAACUUGGAGAUGCAGAAGCUUGACACGCUCAGCAAUUAUGUGGUGUGGUGAAUCUAGGUUGUCACUCUAUCACAUGUA